AACGCUAGCUACAGGCUUAACACAUGCAAGUAGAGGGGCAGCGCGAUGCAGCAAUGUAUUGGCGGCGACCUGCGAAUGGGUGAGUAACACGUAUCCAACCUGCCUGUGACCGGAGGAUAGCCUCCCGAAAGGGAAAUUAACGCUCCAUGCAUCCUACGAUAGGCAUCUUGAAUAGGAUAAAUGCAAAGGUCACGGAUGGGGAUGCGUCCCAUUAGAUAGUAGGCGGGGUAACGGCUCACCUAGUCGACGAUGGGUAGGGGUUCUGAGAGGAAGGUCCCCCACAUUGGAACUGAGACACGGUCCAAACUCCUACGGGAGGCAGCAGUGAGGAAUAUUGGUCAAUGGACGAGAGUCUGAACCAGCCAAGUAGCGUGCAGGACGACGGCCCUAUGGGUUGUAAACUGCUUUUGCAGGGGGGUAAAGUGAGCGACGAGUCGUUCAUUGCAAGUACCCUGCGAAUAAGGAUCGGCUAAUUCCGUGCCAGCAGCCGCGGUAAUACGGAAGAUCCGAGCGUUAUCCGGAAUUAUUGGGUUUAAAGGGAGCGUAGGCGGAUGAUCAAGUCAGUUGUGAAAGUUUGGGGCUCAACCUUGAAAUUGCAGUUGAAACUGGUUAUCUUGAGUGUACAUAACGGUGGUGGAAUUUGUGGUGUAGCGGUGAAAUGCAUAGAUAUCACGAAGAACUCCGAUUG
This 688-nucleotide ribosomal RNA is filed under the name uncultured bacterium. RNAcentral's name for it is "bacterial SSU rRNA". It matches the Rfam family "Bacterial small subunit ribosomal RNA", at positions 32 to 715 of the family's 1533-position model. The record is from RNAcentral.